RNAcentral lists this long non-coding RNA (830 nucleotides) under Nicotiana benthamiana. RNAcentral's name for it is "long non-coding RNA (NBEN_LNC028683)". The record is from RNAcentral. Lineage: Eukaryota; Viridiplantae; Streptophyta; Magnoliopsida; Solanales; Solanaceae.
CAUCUCUUUUUCAGCAUCAAGAUGCAUGACCUGCAGCAAAUCAAUUAGAAGUCAAACUUAGUAAGUAUUUCAAGAAAGCAAGGGACAACUUAGAACAGCAGCCAGGCUUUGAAAAUUCAGAUAAUGCAACAAGUCCAUCUUAUGAACCAAAAAAACCAACAGAGAUCUUGUCACGUAACUCCAAGAAAGCAAGGGACAACUUAAAACAGCAGCCAGGCUUUGAAAAUUCAGAUAAUGCAACAAGUCCAUCUUAUGUACCAAAAAAAGAACAGAGAUCUUGUCACGUAGCUAUAAAUCCUGAAUUUGUCAGGAAACUGGAAGAAAUAGAAGAUGUAUGAGUUUGAAGUUGACAUCAUCACAAAUGUCCAAGAAAAAGAGAACAGAAGCACCACAUAGCAGUUUUGAAUAACUAAUCACCAGGCUUUCCAAUUCAGGAAUAUCAUUAUUCAUAGAGAACUAACUUACUCAAUGUAAGAUGCCAUUGCCAUUAGCAUAUGAACAAGAAAUCCUCAUAUAGAGCACAGAUUUAAAGGGAAAGGAUAAUGGUUGCUACAUUUAGAAACUUACAAGAGCAAGGGCUUCAAAGAGGACAGCAUGUGAUGCAUUGUUCUUGUUCACAUUUUUCACCACAUCGGUUCCCAUCAAUAUCCUUUGCAAAACCUGAUUGAUUAUAAUGAAUCCAGAACAUUUUUUAGAUUUUCUGCAGAUUCUUUUUGGACAAAUAAAGAUCAAAUAGAAAAGGUGAUAUGCUCUCAGUAAAACAUUUAAAAGAUUUUACUGCAGAUUCUUUUUGGACAAAUAAAAAUCAAAUAGAAAAGGUGAUAUGCUCU